CCGGCGCGACGGGUGACGUAACACGUACUACCCAACCGUCGGCCAUAACCGUCCGGGAUACGCCCUCUUUGAAAGGAGGAUUAAUACCGGAUGGUAUCAUUAGUUCGCAUGAGAUGAUGAUUAAAGAAUUUCGGUUAUGGAUGGGGAUGCGUUCCAUUAGAUAGUUGGCGGGGUAACGGCCCACCAAGUCAACGAUGGAUAGGGGUUCUGAGAGGAAGGUCCCCCACAUUGGAACUGAGACACGGUCCAAACUCCUACGGGAGGCAGCAGUGAGGAAUAUUGGUCAAUGGGCGAGAGCCUGAACCAGCCAAGUAGCGUGAAGGAUGACUGCCCUAUGGGUUGUAAACUUCUUUUAUAAAGGAAUAACAGACACUACGUGUAGUGUUUUGCAUGUACUUUAUGAAUAAGCAUCGGCUAACUCCGUGCC
RNAcentral lists this ribosomal RNA (427 nucleotides) under uncultured bacterium. RNAcentral's name for it is "bacterial SSU rRNA". It matches the Rfam family "Bacterial small subunit ribosomal RNA", at positions 95 to 509 of the family's 1533-position model. The record is from RNAcentral.